Aethina tumida (small hive beetle) is the source of this 1213-nucleotide long non-coding RNA. RefSeq lists it as uncharacterized. Lineage: Eukaryota; Metazoa; Arthropoda; Insecta; Coleoptera; Nitidulidae. The transcript has 3 exons. The record is from RefSeq and is a predicted model, not a curated record.
AAUUCCUGACUUGUCAAUGCAAUGACGUUUAUUUACGUCAUUUUUCUACAUUACCAACAUACAUUUCAUUUUUUAAUAUUUUUAAAAAUUCUUUGUUAACUAUAUAACGACAUGCAUUUGGACGAAAAAUAUCAGUUACAAUUACAUUAGUAAACUACAAAUAAAGCCUGUCAUAGAUGAAAUACUUAGGACUUUUGUUAAUGAUUGUCUUCACAAUCCUCGUGUUCCAAGAUCUAGCUACUGCUUGCAUAAAGAAUCGCGAUGGAUGCCAACCUGACGGAAGUCAAGGAAACUGUUGCUCCGGAUACUGCUACAAACAACCUGGAUGGGUUGCGGGUUACUGCACAUAAUAUCUUUUGAUGACAUGUCGCAUGUUACAAAUUGUAACUAUAAUUUUAAAAUAAACAACAGCAUUUAAAAAUAUGUAUCUUUUAUUUGGGUCUAUUAAGCCAUUUAAUUCUUAACGUCGAAAAAUUGUAAUAUUUCAUGUUAUUUAAAAUCUGAUGUUAUUCUGAUACAUUAUUAAAAAUAUUUCUAGAAUGUUAAAUUGUUAUUGAGUUUCUGCGUUUUUAAAAUUCUUAUAUUAUUAAUGCAUUGUUUACAGUCUUCCUAUUUUUAAAUUUUUGUAUUUUGCAUUUGAUUACUCAUUUUUUACAAUAUAUGUUAAUAAAUGUAAUUAGAGUCAGUUUCUUACAAGCAAUAAAUUGUAAGUUUCACGUAUUUUUCGUGUUUUUACAUAGAUAAAAAAUCGCAUUAUAUAUUAUCGAGGGUGUUUCCAAUUCAUGUUAAUAAAUGCAAUCUGAGUCAGUUCUUGGUAACUCAUUAUAUCAAUAACAAAGAGAAACCUUAUCGUACAUGCACCCAAUUAUGCAACUGGUUUUUCCUUUGAGUCUGUUACUAUAAAACUAUCCGUAUUCAGUGUAAAAACCAUCACAAUUUUAAUAAUAUACUCCACUCAACAACUCAACAAUUGAAAUAAAAUAAUGAAGUUCAUCGGACUUAUCUUUUUGGUAAUCUUUGCCUUGGUUGCACUUCAACAUGUGGUAUUUGCUUGUAUCAAAAAUCGUGAUGGUUGUCAGCCUGAUGGACGUCAAGGAAAUUGUUGUUCUGGAUACUGUCACAAAGAACCUGGAUGGGUUGCAGGAUAUUGCAAAUGAAUCGAUCUAAUGUACAAUAAAAAUUUAGUUAUCAUAAAUAAAAUUUUUUAAAAAUA